GAAAUGCGAUAUGUAAUGUGAAUUGCAGAAUUUUUCAGUGAAUCAUCGAAUCUUUGAACGCAUAUUGCACCCAAGUGGGUCACCACAGGGUAUACUUGCCUGAGAAUAUGUAGGUUUGAUUAAUCAAAAAAAUUUUUUUAUAUUAUUUUUUUGAUUAGUAUUGAGGAGAACAUUGACUUGAAAAAAAUUUUCUAUUUUUUUUUCAUUUUGCUCCUUGAAAAUAAAAGUUUUAAAAAAAAGGGUAAUGAAAAAAAGCAUUCUUGAUUAAUCCAGUAAAAUGGAAUAUUUCCUGUGCUUAAAAGUCAUCCUUUUUUUUUACUUGACACCUUCAUGUCAUCAUCAUCAUCAUCAUCAUCAUCCUCAUAAUCUCAGUUCAAGUAAGACUACCCGCUGAACUUAAGC
Molecule: unclassified non-coding RNA, 402 nt
Filed under: plant metagenome
Description: partial contains 5.8S ribosomal RNA, internal transcribed spacer 2, and large subunit ribosomal RNA
Rfam family: 5.8S ribosomal RNA (bases 1-109)
Source: RNAcentral